Molecule: ribosomal RNA, 464 nt
Filed under: uncultured bacterium
Lineage: Bacteria
Description: partial 16S ribosomal RNA
Rfam family: Bacterial small subunit ribosomal RNA
Source: RNAcentral
CUACGGGACGCACCAGUGAGGAAUUUUGCGCAAUGGGGGAAACCCUGACGCAGCAACGCCGCGUGAGCGAAGAAGGCCCUCGGGUCGUAAAGCUCUGUCAAGUGGGAAAAAAAUUCUUUGAUCAAUAGUCAGAGGACUUGAUGGUACCACUGGAGGAAGCACCGGCUAACUCCGUGCCAGCAGCCGCGGUAAUACGGAGGGUGCAAGCGUUGUUCGGAAUUACUGGGCGUAAAGAGCGUGUAGGCGGUUUGGCAAGUCAGAUGUGAAAGCCCUGGGCUCAACCUGGGAAGUGCAUUUGAAACUGCUUGACUAGAGUAUGGGAGAGGAGAUUGGAAUUCCUGGUGUAGAGGUGAAAUUCGUAGAUAUCAGGAGGAACACCCGUGGCGAAGGCGAUUCUCUGGACCAAUACUGACGCUGAGACGCGAAAGCGUGGGGAGCAAACAGGAUUAGAUACCCUAGUAGUC